Long non-coding RNA from Leptonychotes weddellii (Weddell seal), 1167 nucleotides. RefSeq lists it as uncharacterized. NCBI's taxonomy places the organism in Eukaryota, Metazoa, Chordata, Mammalia, Carnivora, Phocidae. The record is from RefSeq and is a predicted model, not a curated record.
UUAAUGGACUCUUGUAGCUGCACGAUGAAGUUUCAGCCCUUGGCCUGGCAUUUAGGGGUCUACCUGGUGGGGCCCAACCAUAAAAGCCUCAGGUACUGGGACAGCCCUGGUCUAAGGAUUUGGUCCACUCCCAGGGCGAGUCUCCACUGCUGUUCUGGGUCUGUGUUCGUCUCUGCCCUGAGGUUGGAAACUUUGCCUGAUACUUCUCUGCAUCCGUGUGUCAGACACAGUUGUUGUCUCAAUAAAUGUUGAAUGAAUGAGUCAAUCAAUGAACAUACCCUCAAAGUUAGGCAAACUCCUCUGGCACUACUUCCAUUUUCAGAUGAAUAACCUGGAGUCGGAAAGGGCCAUCUGCAAAUUCCAUUUGGACAACAUCACCAUCUAUCACAUCGUAACUUAGAAUGUACCAAUCAGAGAUAGCUUGUGGCUGAACUGCUGGCAACGACAGAGAUCGACCAGGCUGCCCAGCAGAAGGAAACUUCUAUGCUCUCAGACACUCAUUUUGUGGACCACUUCACUCAUUUGCACCACCUGUAGUUACUGCUGCCAAGGCUGCCCCUGGAAGAAGCCAUGAAAUGAAGAGUGGCCAAGGGGUUGAUUUCAUGGUUAGUAAGCAAGGGUAUGAGCUAAUGUGCAUCCACUACAUAAAGGAUGGCCCUCUAAAUCCUGAAAUCCUUUGCAUAUGCAUGUGGAGAUCAUCAAUAAAAUUCCUACAGAUGGACAGUGAAUGUGGUUUAGGGAAAAGCAAGAGGCAUUUUAUAAGGUCAAGAGCCUGCCAGCCAAGGACACUGGAUUCCUGUUGGAACUCUAAUCAGUUUCUCUCCAAAGCCAAUAUUCAUGCUUGCCUGAUACUUGCUUCUAACCAAACAGGAGGGUAAUUCUCCUGUUGGGGUCCCGAAAGCUUGACAACAUGCCUUGUCUGGCAGCGGGGGAAAGGAGAGCCUCCCUCUGGUUGGAAAUCCUCUUUGGGAGCAUUGGGUAAUGGCAGGGAGAGGUCCUUCCCUCUGGUGAUUGAGAAAUGAGCACAGGGAUGAAAUCCAGGAUCCUGGGCUGGGAAAUCUCCAUAGCAACACGUUCCUGCUCUAACCUUUCUUGGUCCAAAAUUUCCAAACCAGACCUUUCUACAGAACUGUGAGGUGGGAGGAUGUGCUUAUUACUAAGAGAGAG